UCCAUGUGGUUUUAGGACACGA
This 22-nucleotide microRNA is filed under the name Gadus morhua (Atlantic cod). RNAcentral describes it as "Gmo-Novel-10_3p (mature (guide))". The record is from RNAcentral. Lineage: Eukaryota; Metazoa; Chordata; Actinopteri; Gadiformes; Gadidae.